GACAGAGGUGCCGAGCGUUAGGCGGAAUCACUGGGCUUAAAGCGUGUGUAGGCGGGCUUGUAAGUACCUUGUGAAAUCCCAUGGCUCAACCAUGGAACUGCUUGGUAUACUGCGAUGCUUGAGCCACUUAGGGGCUACCGGAACAAAUGGUGGAGCGGUGAAAUGCGUAGAUAUCAUUUGGAACGCCAAUGGUGAAAACAGGUAGCUGGGAGUGUGCUGACGCUGAGACACGAAAGCCAGGGGAGCGAACGGG
Molecule: ribosomal RNA, 253 nt
Filed under: uncultured bacterium
Lineage: Bacteria
Description: partial 16S ribosomal RNA
Rfam family: Bacterial small subunit ribosomal RNA
Source: RNAcentral